CCCUGGUGGUUCAGAACCUGGUGGUAAAGAAUCUGCCUGCAACGCAGGAGACCCAGGUUCGAUCCCUGGAUCAGGAA
This 77-nucleotide transfer RNA is filed under the name Bos taurus (domestic cattle). Lineage: Eukaryota; Metazoa; Chordata; Mammalia; Artiodactyla; Bovidae. RNAcentral also lists the same sequence under 3 other names. The record is from Rfam by way of RNAcentral.